RNAcentral lists this ribosomal RNA (490 nucleotides) under uncultured bacterium. Its description in RNAcentral is "partial 16S ribosomal RNA". It matches the Rfam family "Bacterial small subunit ribosomal RNA", at positions 30 to 507 of the family's 1533-position model. The record is from RNAcentral.
AUUGAACGCUGGCGGCAGGCCUAACACAUGCAAGUCGAACGGUAACAGGAAGCAGCUUGCUGCUUUGCUGACGAGUGGCGGACGGGUGAGUAAUGUCUGGGAAACUUCCUGAUGGAGGGGGAUAACUACUGGAAACGGUAGCUAAUACCGCAUAACGUCGCAAGACCAAAGAGGGGGACCUUAGGGCCUCUUGCCAUCGGAUGUGCCCAGAUGGGAUUAGCUAGUAGGUGGGGUAACGGCUCACCUAGGCGACGAUCCCUAGCUGGUCUGAGAGGAUGACCAGCCACACUGGAACUGAGACACGGUCCAGACUCCUACGGGAGGCAGCAGUGGGGAAUAUUGCACAAUGGGCGAAAGCCUGAUGCAGCCAUGCCGCGUGUAUGAAGAAGGCCUUCGGGUUGUAAAGUACUUUCAGCGGGGAGGAAGGGAGUAAAGUUAAUACCUUUGCUCAUUGACGUUACCCGCAGAAGAAGCACCGGCUAACUCCGUG